AGCAGCCGCGGUAAUUCCAGCUCCAAUAGCGUAUAUUAAAGUUGUUGCAGUUAAAAAGCUAGUAGUUGAAUUUCGGGAUUGGCGCAUCGGUCGUGCCUCACGGGGUAUGAACUGGGGCAGUCAAUUUCUCACCUUCUGGAGAACCGCGAUGUCCUUAAUUGGAUGCCGCGGGGAACCAGGACCUUUACUUUGAAAAAAUUAGAGUGUUUAAAGCAGGCAUUUUUGCUUGAAUACAUUAGCAUGGAAUAAUAAAAUAGGACGGCAUGGUUCUAUUUUGUUGGUUUCUAGGACCACCGUAAUGAUUAAUAGGGAUAGUUGGGGGCAUUAGUAUUCAAUUGUCAGAGGUGAAAUUCUUGGAUUUAUUGAAGACUAACUACUGCGAAAGCAUUUGCCAAGGAUGUUUUCAUUAAUCAAGAACGAAAGUUAGGGGAUCGAAGACGAUCAGAUACCGUCGUAGUCUUAACCAUAAACUAUGCCGACUAGGAAUCAGACGAUGUUAAUUUUUUAAUGACUCGUUUGGCCCCUUACG
Molecule: ribosomal RNA, 529 nt
Filed under: uncultured Glomeromycotina
Lineage: Eukaryota; Fungi; Glomeromycota
Description: SSU rRNA
Rfam family: Eukaryotic small subunit ribosomal RNA
Source: RNAcentral